RNAcentral lists this transfer-messenger RNA (354 nucleotides) under Dehalococcoidia bacterium. It matches the Rfam family "transfer-messenger RNA". Rfam says of the family: Bacterial tmRNA, also known as 10Sa RNA or SsrA, is named for its dual tRNA and mRNA-like properties. The record is from RNAcentral. Lineage: Bacteria; Bacillati; Chloroflexota; Dehalococcoidia.
GGGGACGAAAGGGUUCGACAGGGAAGCGCGAACCUGAGGUGCAGGCCGAGGUGCCGCUACCUCGUUAAACUGGCGGCGAAACGCUUAACCGGCGAACGUGAAUUCGCCCUCGCCGCGUAAGUAACGCAGCGACGUCGCCCGCAUGCCUCCCCCCGAUGGGCAGCGGCGCGGCGCCGAACAGUCGGGGUGCGGCGGUUUGACGCCGAUACUAACCGCCCAAGAUCCAUCGGCUGCGUCCGGUGACGCCGGGCCGGCGACGGCCCGCCGGACGAGAAUCAACCGCCGGACAAGCCUGUAGGACCUCAGGGCGGCCCUUCUCUGGACGGGGAGUUCGAUUCUCCCCCGUCUCCACCA